CUGCUGUCUCUUAAAAGACCUAUAUCUGACACGAAAGGCAGUAGGUAUCUGUGGGAGUUUGUGUGUAUGUAUUUUUUUAAGUGAUUUGCAUUUCGGAUCUGAAAUGGACACAUGAUGGGGUUGGGAGGAAGGUCGGAGAUGAAGUCAUCUGUGCCAGGGCUAAAAAGUGCAUCAAUAGGGAAGGGGUAUGUUGGAGAUGGGGAAAGACAACUCUGAGAGCAGACUGGUCCAGGGCUGACUCUGGAUGACGUGACAAGGAACAUUUAUAUUCAUUGCCUUCUUGGGUUUUGCUUUCUGGAUUGUUUUGAGAGGAAAGAUUUUAUAGUACUUAGCAUCCCCACCUUUGCUUGGAAAACUCAGCUCUCUCUGCACAUUCCUAGUGCCCGUGUUUCUAUAUGGACAUGCUUGUUGUCAUGCUCUUUUUUCCUUUUAUAAAUGAGACUUCCUGUCUGGCCCACCUGGGAAAAGGUGAAAGGAAUAUUUCAUCCAGCAAUAUGCCCAGAGACCAGAAAGCUUUCCAAGGUGCUGUAUGCAUCUUUGAUGAAACCGUCUCUGGGACUGGAAGGUGGUCUCAUGCAGGACAGCUUAACUGGCCAUAGAAAGCAAUGACCAUAGCCACACAGGUCAAAUGAAAUAGAUUGGUAAGUUCAGGUUUCUCAGUGGUUAAAAACUUGAACAUAAGCCCUCCGGGUGGGGUGGGGGGAAAGAGGUUCCGUCAUGAUGUCGCCUGUCCUGGCGGAAGAGUAUAUAGGUCUUGAGAAAUCCGCCUUGGUUUGGGAACAUCAUGUAGCUAUUGUGCUCCAGAAAAGCUGCCCACUUUGGAUGUGAUGAUGCCUUGUGGUGGGCAAGACUGGGGCUGGUUAGAAUGAAAAGUGGUCAUCUUUGGACAGCUUCUGACUGCCAAGAUUUUUCCAGAACAAGUUUUAAAGCCAUGUAUUAAAUAAAGCUAUGUAAGUGGGAAGCUAACUGCAUCUUAUAAAAGGCUUAGCAUGAAAGGCAGAGUCCUCCGUUUGGAGCCUAUUUUGCUAAAUAUCAGGGGUAGGGAAAUCCAAAACCCGUUCAUGUUUCUGCUCUGCCCUGGAACUGGAUUUAGCUGGAGUUGGUCUCUCAGGCUGCAUGAGCCAUGCUUUUCUCCUGCCUGGUGUGGGUAGAGACUUGAGCGCUAGGGUGGGAUCAGGAACUGCUCAUUGACAAAGAGAUUGUUUAAGGUUUAGGUAUGUUCCGUAGCUUGUUUAACAUUGAAACAUAAGACAAAAGACCUGUUAAUCCUUAGAGUCAAGUGGACCUUUCCAAAUGGAGCAGGGAAGUCCCUAAGGAGAGGCCCCUGGGUAGAACCUGCUUCCCAACCUGAAAGCACAGAGAUGAAGGCUCCCUUGGGCCUGUUUGGCCCAUUGCUGUCCAGCGGGCAGUGCUUCUGGAUUUUCUGAGUCAGAGUCUUAGAUGAUAAAGGGUUUCAAAAAUCAGUAGGGUAUUAUAAUAGAAUAUCAAUAUCCCUUGACAUUUUCAGAUAGUUACUUGUGGGGAAGGGGAAGGCUGUUUUGCCCCACCCGUUGGAGAAAGGAGAGGAGCAUAUAAAACAGAGCAUACAGAAAAAUUUUGCUGAUGUGAGUGUUUCCUUGGGGUGAGGGACUGGGAGAGGCGCCAAGGGUGUGCUUCCAUUGUGGUUAAAGCCCUCAUGGUCUCAGAAUAAGAAUGUCUGGUAAGCAGGUGAAGGAUGAUAUGAUUCACUUUGGUGGUGACCUCCUGGUAGUUCAGCUAAGAAUCCAGGUGAAUCAGAUCAAUAGAGGGCAACUGUACAGUGGCUGGUCAGCCUUUCCAUUGCUCAGCAAGAGAUGUCUGGCCUGUGGGCCAGGAGUAUCAGGCAGGUGUUGGAGGAUGAGUUCCAUAGCCAUUUUCUCUGUUCCUGCUAUCUGUUGGGAAAAAAAAUCUCCAUCAAGAUGUGUACCUUCCCUUCCAGAAUGCUUUAUUUGCAGUUAUCCUUAGCUCCUGUGCAGAUGAAAAAGUUGGUGAAAAACUUAAAAUUCCAUUACCAUGAUGAUUUUCAGAAUUUGUAUUAGGGCCUUUGGUUUUUUAAAACAAGGACACCAAAUAUAGAAGAGAAUAGUUAUGUACAAGGUUAAUAAAAGCCCCUCACCUCCACCCCAUGUAAAUCCUAAAGAGAGAAAAUAGCUGAGCUGUAGUGAUUAUUUCCAGCAAAGAAAACUGUAAUUAUGGGGCCCAGCUAGUCUUCAUAAGGGGCAGCCUUGGAAUAGCUUGGAUGCUAUUUUGAAUAUUUGAGAAAAGAGUGACAUUCAUUGUGAAAUGGAAAUGCCUCUGCCCCACUGGGAUUGGGGCAGCUCCCUCCAGGCAUCCUGGGAAUAGCCUAGUUUCCUCUCUUGUGUGGGUUUGGGAAGCACUUGAAUCCAGUAGUCAUUGCUGGAUUGACUUGGGAGAAGCUGAGGGAGUGAAGAAGCUGAGGGAGUAGAAGAGCCAGGGGAGUAGAGAAGCCAGGGGACUGGCAAAUCUGCUUUUCACAUUGGCUCCCAGUCCCAGCUGUCUAACAUCUAGGGAAAUAAGACUUUUUGGAGAGGCUUCUGUAUGUGGGCUAAGAUGAAGUCUUCUGUACGGCAUGAAGGCAUAAGGGAACAAAAACCAUGAAUAGGCUACAGAAAGGAGUGGCCCAGUCACCUGCCUUGAGGUGGGGGGUGGGGGGGAUGAAUGUCCCACGUGACUUCGUGGUUGUGCAAGAGUUGGGCAACACUUGGCCAGGGUGGAGAGACCUUGGCAAAGGUGUUUGCACUCCUAAUAGAUUCCUAUCUCCCCUGUGGGGCAAACAACUAUUAAAAGUUCUGCACAACAUUUUGGGAGGAAGAAAUUGAUUUCUUUAUCUAACCUAGCAUACUGUACUUGUAUUUUCUUGUAGUUUUAUUCAGCAAACUCCCAUUGUAGUGAAGGCACUGGGACAGAGACCCCAGAGGAUUAAGGGAGAGUGAGACCCCUGUGUUUCUGCCCAUAGGAGCCACAGCCCGGUGGGGGUUGGGUACAGGGAAGGACAAGCAUACAGGUGAUGGCAGCUGAGGCAGGAGAUGGUGGACCCCACGAUGGAGAAGUGGUUCUGGAGAGGAAAAGCAGGAUAGAGUUGAGUCAGGAGGGAAGCUCUGCAACCGGAGAGCCUGCAUUCAGGUUGUAGCCCUGCCCUUCCUCGCUGAGGCGUCUUGGAUAAGUUACUUAAACACUCCGUACCUCUGUUUGCCCAACUGCAAAAUGGCAGUAGUUAUAGUCCCAUGUCAGAGGGUAUGUUUUAAUGGUCAUAAAGUUGGUUUUAGCUCCAAGAUCAGAGCGGAGGGGCUUUGCUGACCUUGAGUUAAUGACUGACAACCCCCCGGCCUUAGUUUCCACAUCUGUGCUUUAAAGGGACUGGAUAAAUGCUCCUAUUUUCUUCCUUCUAAAAGUCUCUCAUUCUGUGAUGGGGUGUAUAUUAAGCGCCUGCUGUGUGCCCAGUACUCUGCUGAGCAUGGUGGAAAAGAGAAAGAGCAGAGUAUGUGCUCCCAGCCCUCAGGAAUCUAUUACUCUAAGUGAGGAGAGGACAUUACUAUUCAGGAUAAUAUUGGAGAAUUCGAAAAUAUUAGAAAUUUAAAAUUUGUCUGUAUGGGUGAGAGAAUAGGAAUAGAGUGUUUAGAGUAGACCAGAAUAGGCAGAAGAUCUGACAACAACCAUAAAUCCAAUACUGUAGACAGGAACUCAGACUUGUUUCCCAAAUCCCAAAACUUGGAACACUGCAUUAAUAUUUAAGAUAAAGUUGAGUCGUAGAAAAACAGCAGCUAUCUGUUUAGGAUUUCGAUGAGAUAAGAUCUGUCAAACUCCUUGCUCAAAGCAAUAAUAGGAUCUAAAACAUUAAAGAGACUCACACUGGUUUUCCAUAUAUUUCUGGAUGGUCGUUGUGGUACAGCAUAGUUCUGGUAGAACAUAGCGUUGCGUCUGGUAGAAUAAUUCACCUGUCCAGCGAGUGAUGUGGGAAACCCCAGGGCUCUGCGCUCAGCACUGAGCAGCCUGGGCAUCCCGGUGGUGUUCUCAGCCCCUCCUCUAGAGGGCAGCACACAGAAGUGGCCCCGCAGAACCCUCCAGUCACAGCUUUGGUAGAACUUAGUAUUGCUUCUCGUCUCCUUAUCAAAGAUGGGUUCUGCUCCUAAGGUUCCCCACCCUACCCCUUAGGGACUACAGGUCCUCUCUCCCUAGUGGCAUUUGAACUUAGAUUUUGAGGAUGCUGCCUCCUGCAGCCCUUCUGUUUCAUGGUUUCUCAAGGUAGCUAUGCAGAUUAGACCACAGGUGACCCUGGCCUGCACAGGUGGCAAGAAGUUCAGCAGCACUUGGCAGAUUGAAAUGUGCCAGAAGACUGGUGUAGACAGCAAGGUCGCCUCACCCAGGAACCUGGGGACACCUCCUGAAAGAAGUGAGCCAGGGCCUUCAGUGAGCCUUGGAGAAAGAGUGGAAGCCAGCUCAGGUCAGCAGAUCGGAUGGGUAGAGGCACGAAGUAUGUCCAUUCCCCCCACCAGUACCCCCACUGCUCCUCGCUAACCAUACGUGGAGGGGAGCACAGCCAGUUAGAUGGGGGGAAGGAAGCGAGAUAGAAAGGACAGAUGAGGCACACGCAGCUGCUCCUCAGCCCCAGCCAGUGGCUCAGAAUUCCUGCUCAUCACCCAAGGGGUCAGCGAUGGCCUGGCCUGAUAGGCCAGUUCGUGACAUCCUGGCUUCAGAUGAGCAGACCACAAACCCUCACAGAGCUCUUGGCUGAAUUUCCUCCACAGUAAAGCACCCAGAAAUCCUGUGAUACCCAUCAGUACUCUUCAUUUACAGAGCAGCCUCUAUGCAGGCACUCGUGCAAAUCAUAUCUGCCGUCAAAACACACCUUCACACAGGCACCCACGGAGGUAGGGAGGACAGAGGGGGCCGUGGAGGUUCAGAGGGUGAAAGGAGCGGUGACUUGCUGUUACGGCCCCUCGGAGAAAAGCAGAGAUGAAAACUGUUGAGAACAUGAGUCUGCCGUCCAGGCUGGCGUCCCAAGCACCGUUCUUCUCUCCCACAUUGUACCCUUGUCUCAUUCCCCCCGCCCCCCGCCUUUCCUUUCACAAAAAGAAUUAUUUUUUUUCCCACAUAAGCAAGAUGGAAGCAAACGUUGCAACCUCCAAAUGUAUGAAAUAAACAUGAUUCCUAAUGAGCCUCUGGGAAAGUGCUCACCUUUGAACUUAGCCAAGGAUUAUGGAGGAAAGAAAAUGUCUUAAGAACUUGAUAGAGUGUUAGAGCUUCCUGGAUUUUUUCCGUCAAGUUACAUAUUACAUUUCUUUUCCUUAAUAAGGGCAGUUCCAGAAAUCCUUCCUGGAUGAUGAGACCAUGUCCAAAAGCGGAGACCUACGGUUGGCCACAGAUGCUGGUUUGGGGACUGUCCUCUGGGUGCUAGGCAACAGGAGGGUCAGAGGCACCAUUUCCAGAAUGCUCCUGCCUUCCUUGCACUCAGCCCCCACUCUCUGGGUCCUUGCCAGGCAGGACAGGAGCAUGUAGGCCGUCCCAGGGUGAGGUCUGGGGUGUCCUAGAACACGACAGGAAGCUGUCCAGGGAACCUGGUGGCUUGAAAGUGAUAGGGCCAAGGAGGCCUCCAGCCAAGACAAGCUUUUUUUCCCAGAGACCUUGCCUCUGCAUUGGCCUGGGCUCAUCUCUAUCUCUAUUUUGAAGAAAGAAUAAUAACAUUUC
Molecule: long non-coding RNA, 5724 nt
Filed under: Sus scrofa (pig)
Lineage: Eukaryota; Metazoa; Chordata; Mammalia; Artiodactyla; Suidae
Description: lncRNA (ENSSSCG00030047691.1)
Source: RNAcentral